Molecule: transfer RNA, 73 nt
Filed under: Canis lupus familiaris (dog)
Lineage: Eukaryota; Metazoa; Chordata; Mammalia; Carnivora; Canidae
Also listed under: 1 other name
Rfam family: tRNA
About the family: Transfer RNA (tRNA) molecules are approximately 80 nucleotides in length. Their secondary structure includes four short double-helical elements and three loops (D, anti-codon, and T loops). Further hydrogen bonds mediate the characteristic L-shaped molecular structure. tRNAs have two regions of fundamental functional importance: the anti-codon, which is responsible for specific mRNA codon recognition, and the 3' end, to which the tRNAs corresponding amino acid is attached (by aminoacyl-tRNA synthetases). tRNAs cope with the degeneracy of the genetic code in two manners: having more than one tRNA (with a specific anti-codon) for a particular amino acid; and 'wobble' base-pairing, i.e. permitting non-standard base-pairing at the 3rd anti-codon position.
Source: Rfam by way of RNAcentral
ACCUGGCUGGCUCAGUGGGCAGAGCAUGUGACUCUUAAUCUCAGGGUUGUGAGUUCAAGCCCCACGUUGAGUG